CAAUGGCAUUUUACAUCAUGUCCUGAAAGUCAUCAGUCCAUAACCACUAAGAAGUGAUGCAAAAUGCUGGUAAUCCCUGCCCAGCAAGCAAUCUGAGUCCAUGCGGAAAGCUCCUGAAAAACAACACCUGUGUAAGAAAGAAAUUCCUUCCUACAUCUUGGUUAUCAGGAGCAGAAAGCAGGCUGCAGCAGAUGAGGAUAGCUGAAAACACAAAUCAGAGUGCCUACUUCUUGAUACUCCUGCCUUAGUUUUGUCUUCUGUGGAUCUGGACUGGUAACAGCUUCCUGCCUACCGGGGAUGCUGCAAAGAUUAUUACACACUUACCAGAUUAUGAGUGAGGCCAAGUUUGGACUCUGUGAUGAUUUUCAGACGCUCAAAUGGAUUGCCCAGUAGAGGGAGCAAAGGGAGCACUGUGGACGCUGUACACUUUCAGAAGCUCGCAGAAAGUAUUCCCCCGUGCAAGCCAUCCUUAAGUGCUUCUCCCCAGUCCAGAGGGUGGGUCAGUGUGGGUUAGUGUGCCACUGAGCCAAGCAGAAACAACGACCAGGAGAAAAACGGCCUUUGGACAGCCAGGUCUUGAGUGGAUGUUACCAGUGCAGACAGACAGACAGAGCAUAAGCUGCUGGUGUCCAGGGUUUAAAAAUAU
Molecule: long non-coding RNA, 646 nt
Organism: Corapipo altera (White-ruffed manakin)
Lineage: Eukaryota; Metazoa; Chordata; Aves; Passeriformes; Pipridae
Exons: 3
Source: RefSeq, a predicted model, not a curated record